UUCAAUUUUUAACUAUUUGUCUUAUUUAAAAAACUUUACGAUUGAUUUUUUUAUUUUUAUUAGAUGAUAAAUCAUAAAUAGUACUUUAUGUGUGACUAAUUUUUUUUAAUUUUUUUAAAAUUUUUUUAAAUAAAACAGAUGGUCAAACGUUGGAUACGGAA
RNAcentral lists this microRNA precursor (161 nucleotides) under Oryza brachyantha (malo sina). Its description in RNAcentral is "MIR812 microRNA precursor family". It matches the Rfam family "MIR812 microRNA precursor family", at positions 27 to 186 of the family's 205-position model. The record is from Rfam by way of RNAcentral. Lineage: Eukaryota; Viridiplantae; Streptophyta; Magnoliopsida; Poales; Poaceae.